Molecule: long non-coding RNA, 395 nt
Organism: Phyllostomus discolor (pale spear-nosed bat)
Lineage: Eukaryota; Metazoa; Chordata; Mammalia; Chiroptera; Phyllostomidae
Exons: 2
Source: RefSeq, a predicted model, not a curated record
CCACAGCUAUAGGCAGUUGGUGAUUGGCAGCUUCAACAACACAGUGAGCCCACUCACGUCUUCUGUAGAGUUUUUUUUUUGAAAUGUCAAAUGACCCAGGUGACUCAGACUGCUACAGCCAAGUUUUUGGCAUUCUGCAACUUCUGGUUUUUCCCCAAACUGAAAUUACCUUUGAAAGGGAGGAGAUUUCAGGCCGUUGAUGAGAUUCAGGAAAGUAUGAUUCGGCAGCUGAUGGCAAUUGGGAGAACUGUGUGAGGUCCCAAGGUGCCUACUUUGAAGGGGACUGAGGCAUAAUUGUCCUAUGUACAGUGUUUCUCGUAUCUUGUGCCUUUUUCAAUAAAUGUCUCUAUUUUUCACACUACAUGUCUGGAUACUUUCUUGACAGACCUUGUAUA